CGUACAGUCAGUGAAUCAUCGAAUCUUUGAACGCACCUUGCACGCGGAGAGUCCAUUUCCGCGUAUACCUGUUUGAGUAACAUAACAUCGACACACUUUUCGGCUGCCUCGGCGGACGAGAGAGCUGGGCCGUCCGGCUUCGGCCGGUGGCUCGAAAUGCAGCGAGGAGACACAGAGCUGUGCCAAGUGAGGAGAUUGCAUCCGUGCAAGCAAUCACGCGGCUGCUCGUUGGCUCCGGCGUGCUCCGGCACACACCAGUGCACCGUGUACCAUGUACAUACAUGGCAUAUGGUGCACGCAACAGUGUUCUCAAAUCAGGCAAGACCACCCGCUGAACUUAAGCAUAUCAAUAAGCGGAGG
Molecule: ribosomal RNA, 360 nt
Filed under: uncultured Ascomycota
Lineage: Eukaryota; Fungi; Ascomycota
Description: eukaryotic LSU rRNA
Rfam family: Eukaryotic large subunit ribosomal RNA (bases 305-360)
Source: RNAcentral